Molecule: ribosomal RNA, 429 nt
Filed under: Chloroflexota bacterium
Lineage: Bacteria; Bacillati; Chloroflexota
Description: Chloroflexi bacterium partial 16S ribosomal RNA
Rfam family: Bacterial small subunit ribosomal RNA
Source: RNAcentral
UAGGGAAUCUUCGGCAAUGGACGAAAGUCUGACCGAGCAACGCCGCGUGAGUGAAGAAGGUUUUCGGAUCGUAAAACUCUGUUGUUAGAGAAGAACAAGGACGUUAGUAACUGAACGUCCCCUGACGGUAUCUAACCAGAAAGCCACGGCUAACUACGUGCCAGCAGCCGCGGUAAUACGUAGGUGGCAAGCGUUGUCCGGGUUUAUUGGGCGUAAAGCGAGCGCAGGCGGUUUCUUAAGUCUGAUGUGAAAGCCCCCGGCUCAACCGGGGAGGGUCAUUGGAAACUGGGAGACUUGAGUGCAGAAGAGGAGAGUGGAAUUCCAUGUGUAGCGGUGAAAUGCGUAGAUAUAUGGAGGAAAACCAGUGGCGAAGGCGGCUCUCUGGUCUGUAACUGACGCUGAGGCUCGAAAGCGUGGGGAGCAAACAGG